Molecule: long non-coding RNA, 1141 nt
Organism: Gossypium raimondii (Peruvian cotton)
Lineage: Eukaryota; Viridiplantae; Streptophyta; Magnoliopsida; Malvales; Malvaceae
Exons: 3
Source: RefSeq, a predicted model, not a curated record
GUUUACUAAUUUUAUAAUUUUUAUUUUAAAAAAAUAUCUACUGAAUUAAUAAAACAAUAUCCAAGACAAGGACCUGGGGCUGCCCAAAACACUUCGAAAACAACAAUCAUAAACAGAAAUUAAAUCUAGCCCAGUAUUUUAGACCUCUUCAACAAGCAUAAAAAAAGGAAUUCUAGAAAUAUCUAAAAACCAAAUGUAUAUUGAGAAACAAAUUUCAGGGGAAAAACCUUUCAUUUCCUAAACGAGCAUGAAACAGAUCAUCAGAACUCUGCUUCCCCUUUCAUCUACAACUGUGGUUUUUCAUUCUGGGCCUCUAUCCAUCGGCGAUCAACUUCCACCAUCGCCUCUGCAAACUCCGGCACAUCGUUCAUCAGGAAAAUCUCUGUUCUUUGCUUAAUCCCUUCAUUUGCUAACUGUUGUGCUGCUCCAUUGGCCGGUCUCUGCACAUGAUUUAAGUAGGGUUUGAAAGGUCUUGUAUUAUGAGCUUGUAACCACUACGAACAGAAUAUUCUCCAGACGCUUCACCUCUCCAUGCUAUGUGAUCAUUGUUUAGGCAUCGUAGCAAAGGAAUUUUGAGAAUCCUUUCGGCAUCCCUUUCACUAAAGGUACUGAGGAUGGUAUCAAUUUUCCAUAUUCUAGUAUUAGGAUCUACAAAAUCUUCAACUAAUCGCACAUCUUGAAUACGAAUCCCAUCCUGAAUUUUUUAGUUCUUUGCUUUCGGUACCCAAGCAUCAUCCAGAAUUAAAAUGGAGGUCCCUAUACCCACUUUCCAGCAUAGUCCCGCUUGAAGGAGCCCUUUCGUAGCCCAUACACUUUGCCAAGUAUAGGAAGGUACGUGUGUGUGCGGUGUGCGCGGAGUGCUGAAUGUGGGUAGUUGCUACGAUGUGAGUAGUUGUUACGGCGUUCGCGGAGGCAUGCAAGGGAUCUUUGCUGACGUACGGCGCUGGGGAAAAGGGCUAGGGUUUUUCGGAUGUGUGCUGUUAGGGCUAAGCAUUUGAGCCGUUUGUAUUGGGUCAUUGGGGUUAGGUUGGUGGGCUAAAUGUUAGGACUGAUGUAGUCUGGGCUUUAGGCUUAGUUGGGCCCGGGCAAUAAUUGGGUAUUACACUCCUCAAAAUAUUUUUAUGUACAUUUGCCUGAUUAA